Molecule: ribosomal RNA, 440 nt
Filed under: uncultured bacterium
Lineage: Bacteria
Description: bacterial SSU rRNA
Rfam family: Bacterial small subunit ribosomal RNA
Source: RNAcentral
CCUACGGGGGGCAGCAGUCGAGAAUCAUUCACAAUGGGGGAAACCCUGAUGGUGCGACGCCGCGUGGGGGAUGAAGGUCUUCGGAUUGUAAACCCCUGUCAUUUGUGAACAACCGUUUAAAUUUAAUAGAUUUAAACCUGAUAGUAGCAAAAGAGGAAGGGACGGCUAACUCAGUGCCAGCAGCCGCGGUAAUACUGAGGUCCCAAGCGUUGUUCGGAUUUACUGGGCGUAAAGGGUGCGUAGGUGGCCAGGAAAGUUUGAUGUGAAAGCCCCGAGCUCAACUCGGGAAUUGCAUUGGAUACUACUUGGCUUGAGGAUCGGAGGGGAGACUGGAAUUCUCGGUGUAGCAGUGAAAUGCGUAGAUAUCGAGAGGAACACCAGUGGCGAAGGCGAGUCUCUGGACGAUUCCUGACACUGAGGCACGAAAGCUAGGGGAGCAA